CAGUCGCCGCGGGAAUACGUAGGGUGCGAGCGUUAAUCGGAAUUACUGGGCGUAAAGCGUGCGCAGGCGGUUCGUUAAGACAGAUGUGAAAUCCCCGGGCUUAACCUGGGAACUGCAUUUGUGACUGGCGAGCUAGAGUAUGGCAGAGGGGGGUAGAAUUCCACGUGUAGCAGUGAAAUGCGUAGAGAUGUGGAGGAAUACCGACGGCGAAGGCAGCCCCCUGGGCCAAUACUGACGCUCAUGCACGAAAGCGUGGGGAGCAAACAGGAUUAGAUACCCCGGUAGUCCCUGUCUCUUAUAC
This 301-nucleotide ribosomal RNA is filed under the name uncultured bacterium. RNAcentral describes it as "partial 16S ribosomal RNA". It matches the Rfam family "Bacterial small subunit ribosomal RNA", at positions 509 to 807 of the family's 1533-position model. The record is from RNAcentral.